RNAcentral lists this unclassified non-coding RNA (304 nucleotides) under plant metagenome. Its description in RNAcentral is "partial contains 5.8S ribosomal RNA, internal transcribed spacer 2, and large subunit ribosomal RNA". The stretch from base 1 to 105 matches the Rfam family "5.8S ribosomal RNA", at positions 50 to 154 of the family's 154-position model. The record is from RNAcentral.
GAAAUGCGAUAAGUAGUGUGAAUUGCAGAAUUCAGUGAAUCAUCGAAUCUUUGAACGCACAUUGCGCCCCUUGGUAUUCCAUGGGGCAUGCCUGUUCGAGCGUCAUUUGUACCCUCAAGCUUUGCUUGGUGUUGGGCGUCUUGUCUUGUCCAUUUGUGACCAGACUCGCCUUAAAGUAAUUGGCAGCCAGUGUUUUUGGUAGUAAGCGCAGCACAUUUUGCGUCUUGGUCCAUAAACAGUGGCAUCCAUAAAGCCUCCUCACUUUUGACCUCGGAUCAGGUAGGGAUACCCGCUGAACUUAAGC